RNAcentral lists this ribosomal RNA (606 nucleotides) under Bivetiella cancellata. RNAcentral describes it as "partial 12S ribosomal RNA". The stretch from base 191 to 601 matches the Rfam family "Microsporidia small subunit ribosomal RNA", at positions 752 to 1303 of the family's 1311-position model. The record is from RNAcentral. Lineage: Eukaryota; Metazoa; Mollusca; Gastropoda; Neogastropoda; Cancellariidae.
AAAGGUGGUUAGGUAUAUAUAUAUAAUAAUAGUCUCAUGAUUGUCUAUAAUAAAGGUAAAAUUGUUGUGUAGAUUAAUAAAUCAAAAGUGACUACGUCAUACUGAAUCUACGAUGGCCUUGAGGGAAACUGGGAUCGGAUACCCCACUAUUCUCGGUUGUAAAUAAAUGUUAAAUUUACCAGAGUACUACGAACAAUAAAAAAUUUAAAACUCAAAGAACUUGGCGGUGUUUUAGACCAAUUAGGGGAACCUGUCUCGUAAUCGAUAGUCCACGCUAUACCUGACCUUUUAUUGCGAUUAUCAGUUUGUACACCGUUGUCAUCAGUUAACCUUUUAGAGUAAUGUGAGUUAGCAAAAAAAUUUAUAGAUAAAUUUAAAUGUCAAAUCAAGGUGCAACUUAUGAGAAGGAGAAGAUGGGUUACAAUUAAAACUUAUAAGAUGGAUUAGAUAAUGAAAUUUGACUAUGAAGGAGGACUUAAAAGUAAGGUUGUUAUAUAAAAAUAGUCUGAAUCUGGCUCUGAAAUGUGUACAAACCGCCCGUCGCUCUCGUUGAAAAAGGAGAUAAGUCGUAACAUAGUAGGGAUAAUGGAAAUUGUUCCUGAGUUA